This is a long non-coding RNA of Ailuropoda melanoleuca (giant panda), 3171 nucleotides long. RefSeq lists it as uncharacterized. The record is from RefSeq and is a predicted model, not a curated record. NCBI's taxonomy places the organism in Eukaryota, Metazoa, Chordata, Mammalia, Carnivora, Ursidae. The transcript is spliced from 3 exons.
GGAAAUACCUUCUUUUUCCUGACUGGACAUUGACUGAUGGACUAAUUAUGUGUUCGAGCAAGAUGGUGCACUGGGGCCAUUGCUCUGAGCUUGUUUUAGUAGAUGAAUUGCUCAUGGGAGAGGUGACCUGUUAAAUUCAGAAGAAGGACCACAACGAAAGAACCAUCUGAAGACCAACCCUUAGGCAUUCUCCCUCCACCAGAAAAAACUGAAAUGAGGGACUCUGAUUUCCUAAUCUGCUGCUGAAAUUUGCUCUUUCUCGGAUCUGGGGAAAAAAGAAACUGGCACACUUGCCUCCCUGCUGCUGCCGUGUUCAGCACGCUCACUUCCCGAGCUCCUGCAGAUGAAAGUGUAAUUGUGUGGAAGGUGAACUGAUUGCAAUUAACCUCAGGACUUACCCUCGGGCUGGGGUAUUCUCCCUUCUUUUCUAGGAAUGUGCCACCGGGCCAUAAUACAUAGCUGAUGAAUACGUAUAUCAUACAGGGAAACACAUAUAUUAUGGGAUAAAGUACAUAAAUCAUGUAGAAAAACAUGCAUUAUACUGAGAUGAUCAAAUUAUAAAUGAAGCACAUAAAUCAUAAGAUUACACUGUUGAAUUGUAUCAGGAAACAUAAAUUAUAUAGUGAAAUCCCAGGGUCACUGGAGGGUUCACUGAAUAAUGAAAUGAGCUCCUAUAACUUAAGGAAAAGUGGAAUAACUCGGUGAAAAAUCCAUUGUGCAUUAUGUUCAAUAUUCCAUUUAAUCCAAUUUUAUCUCCUAGGCCUCCUGUGCCCAAGAAUCGAGGUGGCACACCAAGAGGGAGGGGACUACACAAACAGCAAAUCAAUAUUGAGGGAUAAUGUACUCCAGCUAUAUUCAAAAAUAUAAACUUUCAAAUAUAGUGAACAUCUGUAGCUGAAUUCUCGAGUCCAUGUUGGAAAGGAUGGCAGUUCUAAGGUCAGCUACAAAUAUCAAAAGGGCAACGUCUUGUUCCAAAAUGAAGAAUGUCUUGAACCCAAGAAGAUCCUAAAAAGAAAGAGAUGAAAUUAAGAUUGGUUUGCUCUAAGUGUAGCUAAGCAAUUGAAAUUUGGAUUGAUUCAUUGCAUCAAAUAAUGAAGAACAAAAAACAUUUAUUUUAAAUUAUGCAUAUAUAAAGACUUUGCUUACCUUCCCUUGGGGAUCAUUUUUCACAUUUGACUUUGUUUUUUUUUUUCCCUUUACUUCUCUGUACCUUUGUUCAUGCCUGUAUUAAUAGGAUGAAAGGGAAGCAAAAUGGAGAAGAGAAUUCUUUAACUUAGUUUUGCUUUUUAAAGGAAAGUCACAAGCUGGUAGAGGCCAUUCUGUGAGGCUUUAACAGAAGCCCGGGCAAAGAGACUUUCACACACAAUACAGAACAAUGAUACAAAUCAGAUCAAUCUCACAAAGUUUCUCAGUGCAAUGUUCAUCCACGUGAAUUAUGCUCUCACUAAAGCAAGGGCCCAGAAUUCACAUCCAUUCGUAGCACUGGUGAGUUAGGGUUAUGGUCAAAGCCUGGUGUACUGAGGGAUUCCUUAGUCAUAAACAAAGUGUUUGACCCCCUCUAUUCCUCAGGGCAAUAGAGAGCCCGAGCUAACUGAAUUUAUACAGUGGGAAUUGAUAGUUUAUUGCUGACCCUGGAGGGGCAGGGGCACUGACUCACAACCUAUUUCUGGCUUUUCUUGGCAUUUGUUACUGCAGAUAAAGGUAGAUUGUGUCAAGAUGUGCUGCUGGUCCUGGAAUACAAUCGUGUCAAAACACAAGUGCUAAAUUAUUUGAAGGGAAGCAAUAAAUUGGCACCCCCAAACACCCCCUGCCUUCCCUAAGCAUCACAUUUCGAUUUCUCACUGUUACGCAUGUUCAGUGCUGGUUUACACACCACCAAAGAUGUUAAAAGAUAUAUAUCCUGCUAAUCGUACAUUAGUAAUUGUGGAAGAAACUGAAGAGCUGAAGACACAUAGAAUUCCUUUGUUUUCAAUGGCAGGUGAAAUACAAAAUAUUAAUAAAAAUGUAAUCUAUAAAAAUGUUUAGUUUGUUAUCUGUACAUUUGGCUUUGGCCUGCUAACCCAAACUGUUUGGUCCCCAAAACAUCCAUAAAUGGUUAAAUCUUCUCAAUAUACGUAUAAUCAUUUUACUCUAUGAUCUAUGUGUUUCAUUAGUUGAGGUACACAUUUUGCUAUAAUAAAUGUGCUUCAGUAAAUGAUCUAUGCAUUUCUUUCUGAAAUGUAUGUGUUUCACUAGAAAAGGUAUGUGUUCAUCAACUAUGAAUAAUGUUCCUAACGGCACCACAUUAUAUUACCAUGCUGGUAUCAGCACAGCAUUACACAUCCGUUCCCCCCUGACCAUGAGCUCCGCGUCCGCGGGAACACACAUCAGCCCCUGUCACUCUCAGGUGUCGAUGCUCACGUGCCUGAACUCUGCCGUCUUGGGAAACACAAAUGGGAGGGGGGGAUGGAGUCAUUUUCGAGGUGAAUAUGUUUGUUAAAUGAACAGGAAACAAGGGAUUUUUCUAGGCCUGCCCUUUCAUAACCCAGAGGAGGAAAAAACAAUGUGACAAAACACAGUUGAGAUUUUACUGUUUUUCAUAGGCAAACUUCCUUCCAUUUGCUUCAAUUAGCAUUACUUGGGUAACAAAGGGAAGAAUGUAAUUCCAAGUGAAACAUUAAAACCAUUUUUUUUUUUUUUAACUUAUGUGACUGCUCUAUCGAGAUUCCACCCGGUUCCUGAUUUUGGUGAAUUGGCUUCCAAAAUGAAGUAAAAGUGUCUUUAUAGAGUGAAACAAAUUAAUUACUUUAAAAGUUAAAGACCUUAUCUUUCUGUAAAAGAUGUUGUUGAUCACUCGUUGAUGAGAGGUUCAUGUUAGUGUAUAAUUCAAAGGGAAAAGAAAGAUUUUUGUGGGUAUAACAAAACAUACAGUGAUUUACUUCUCAACAUAUUGAAAUUCAAACCAAGCAAUUAUCCGAUUGAACUCACAACCGAUUCUUUGUGGCCUCCAAGCUAUCUGGGACUACUAACAAACAAACCUUUAGAUUAUCUGUGGAAAUCCUUUCUUCCCCCAAGUGUAUGAGUUUCUUCUGUCCAGCUGUCAAGGUUUUGAAAUGUGCCUGAUUCUUAGAGAUGACCAUUUAUUUCAGAAUUGUAACCUCUCUAUGCCUUUCUUCAUUGUGAUAUGCAGCA